This 628-nucleotide unclassified non-coding RNA is filed under the name Hevea brasiliensis (rubber tree). Lineage: Eukaryota; Viridiplantae; Streptophyta; Magnoliopsida; Malpighiales; Euphorbiaceae. The record is from RNAcentral.
AGAAAGUCCAAUAAAUAAGUCACUGUUAACCUGUUUUCCAUUAACUAGGCUGUUUCUUGGAUCUUUCUUGCAUCUUUCGAGGAAAUUUAACUUCAGAAACUGGAAGAUUAUGUCGAUUAUCACCUUCUAAAUUCUCUUCAAUCGAAAAGAACCAAACAGGUGGAUCGACAUGGGGAACUGUUUAGGAACUCCUGUGAAUAAUCACUACAGCCCUCCCACUACCAAUCCUUAUACUCCAGAAACCUUCGGGAACGGUAGUAAACAUCCUGGGGUCCCGAGUACCAGCAGCAGUAAUAACACCAGCCCAGAAAACGUCAGCGAUAGUGUGAAAAAUGGAAGCAGCAAGAAGGAAACGAGCGGGAAGAUUAUCACCCCGAAUCUUAAAAUGUUCACUCUAGCCGAGUUAAAGAGUGCUACCAGGAACUUCAGACCUGAUACAGUUCUAGGGGAGGGAGGAUUUGGAAGAGUGUUUAAAGGAUGGAUUGACGAGAAGACUUACGCGCCGUCUAAAGUCGGCGUCGGCAUGGCGGUCGCCGUCAAGAAGUCCAACCCAGAUAGCAUUCAAGGCCUAGAGGAAUGGCAGUCUGAAGUGAAAUUCCUGGGGAAGUUUUCACACCCAAAUCUUGUG